UUCUAUGGUGGCCAUAUCUACAACAUGUUGCAAAGUUGCUUGGCUUCUCUUCACCAGCUGCUGUCAAUAUGGCUAAGUCAGCCACCAACCACCACAAGUCUUGGGAAAUGCUCCGUAUUUUUCUAUAUGGUUCCACUGACGAACUUUUGUAUAGUGUCUUACUGUCAAAGGCACCUGGGCAUCAUUUGUACACUAUCUCUGCAUUUCAUGCUUAGCUGAAGCAACAUAAAUAUCCCAAUGUCAAAUUCCUGUCCGGCAUUUUGUUGGAACUCAUCAUUCCAUUAUUCAUAUAUCGUUCUGCUGUUAGGAGAAACAACAGCCAAGCAAUGACUCACAGCCGGGAUUCAUGUUCAAGGCUUUUUUGUGCAAUGAAUAACACCUCCUAUCAAGAACUCAUUCUAUGAGAUGAAAUGAGACUACAAGCCCCACCAGAAAUUGUUAAUUAUCUUAAUGCUUGUGAGGUAAUUUCUCCAACCGGUCAUCACAGUAAAGGUGAAGGUGGUGACUUUGUAUUAGAGAAUAACAACAGAAAAGGGAACAUGUGGAUGCCUCCAGGUGUACCCACAGGUGAUGCAUGGCUGAGGAGCUGCAUAAAUCUUCUCAAAUUGGAACAGAACUGAUGCCAUCCAAUACCGAUGGAAAAGAACUACAAGCAACAGAAAUGUGUUGAUGAAGUUCCUUAUGGAAAUUGACUCUUAUAUUGAGGAGGAGGAGGAGGGGGAUGAGGAUGAAGAUGAGGAGCAAGACCUAGAAGACUUACUGACGCCAAGGCCCGAUUUGGGCGUUACCUCCCUUGCCGGGACUGCAGGUGGCGUGGCAGAGUAGGAAGCAUGUCGGACGGAGAGAGGGGUUGACAAAGUACAGUUCAGGUCACCGCAGUUGAGCUGUGCGUCUGUACAAGAG
This is a long non-coding RNA of Haliotis rufescens (red abalone), 903 nucleotides long. RefSeq lists it as uncharacterized. The transcript is spliced from 4 exons. The record is from RefSeq and is a predicted model, not a curated record. NCBI's taxonomy places the organism in Eukaryota, Metazoa, Mollusca, Gastropoda, Lepetellida, Haliotidae.